Molecule: ribosomal RNA, 2033 nt
Filed under: human gut metagenome
Description: bacterial LSU rRNA
Rfam family: Bacterial large subunit ribosomal RNA
Source: RNAcentral
GCAAGAUACCACGGGCGCACGGCGGAUGCCUUGGCACAGGGAGCCGAUGAAGGACGCGGCAAGCUGCGAUAAUCCCCGGCGAGGAGCACACAUCCUUCGACCCGGGGGUCUCCGAAUGGGCGAACCCAUCCGUAGCAGUACGGAUAUCCCGAUCCUGAACGCAUAGGGGCCGGGAGGACAACCCGGGGAACUGAAACAUCUAAGUACCCGGAGGAGAGGAAAUCAAUCUCGAGACUCCCCGAGUAGCGGCGAGCGAAAGGGGACCGAUGGCCAAACCGUCGAGCGGGCAUACCCGGCAGGGGUUCCGCCGGCGGGGUUGCAGGGCCGCGCAUCCGGGGGCUGCCGCCCCCGGGCGCAGGUCCGGCUGGGGAGCGGAACGGCAUGGGAGGGCCGGCCGCAGCGGGUGACAGCCCCGUACGCGAACCCAGACCGGACGGCGCGACGCGGUCCCUGAGUAGGGCCGGGCACGUGAAACCCGGUCCGAACCUGGGUGGACCACCAUCCAAGCCUGAGUACUACCCUGUGACCGAUAGCGCACCAGUACCGUGAGGGAAAGGUGAAAAGCACCCCGGGAGGGGAGUGAAACAGUACCUGAAACCGUGCGCCCACGAGCAGUCGGAGCACCCUUGUGGUGUGACGGCGUGCCUUUUGUAGAAUGAGCCAGCGAGUCGCUGGCGCGGGGCGAGGUUAACCGAAAGGGAGCCGGAGCGAAAGCGAGCCUUAACAGGGCGACUUGAGUCCCGCGCCGCGGACGCGAAGCCGGGUGAGCUAUCCGUGGGCAGGCUGAAGCGGGGGUAAGACCCCGUGGAGGGCCGAACGCACGUCGGUUGAAAACGGCGGCGAUGACCUGCGGAUAGGGGUGAAAGGCCAAUCAAACCCGGAGAUAUCUCGUUCUCCCCGAAAUAGCUUUAGGGCUAGCCUCGGCCGUUAACCCGCGGUGGUAGAGCCACCGGAUCGACGAGGGGGCUUCACCGCCUACCGACUCGAACCGAACUCCGAAUGCCGCGGGUCGAGAGGCCGGGAGUCAGAGGGCGUGGGCUAAGCUGCGCGCUCGAGAGGGAAACAGCCCAGACCGCCCGCUAAGGUCCCCAAGUCAUCGCUGAGUGGCAAAGGAUGUGCGUCUGCCCAGACAACCAGGAUGUUGGCUUAGAAGCAGCCAUGCAUUUAAAGAGUGCGUAACAGCUCACUGGUCGAGUGGACAUGCGCCGACAAUUCACGGGGCUAAGCGAUGCACCGAAGCGGCGGACUGAGAAUUCAGUGGUAGGGGAGCUCUCCGCGGGGGGCGAAGCAGCAGGGCGACCUGCUGUGGACCGCGCGGAGGUGAGAAUGCUGGCAUGAGUAACGAGACCAGGGCGAGAAACCCUGGCGCCGUGAGCCUAAGGGUUCCUGGGCGAGGCUAAUCCCCCCAGGGUCAGUCGGGAGCUAAGGCGAGGCCGAGAGGCGUAGCCGAUGCGCAGCGGGCAGACAUUCCCGCACCGCCGACGGCGCGGCAUUACCGAUGGGGCGACGGAGAAGGGUAGCCGGGCGGGGUUCUGGACGUCCCCGUGAAAGCGCGUAGGGCGCGCAGCGUGGAAAUCAGCUGCGCACAGGGCCUGAGACGCGAGACGAAGCGACUGAGCGAAGCCGGUGAGCCCAUGCUUCCGAGAAAAACCUCUAGGGAGUGCCGUCGGCGCCCGUACCAAAACCGACACAGGUGGGCGGGUAGAACAUACCGAGGCGAUCGGGAGAACCACGGUUAAGGAACUCGGCAUACUGGCCCCGUAACUUCGGGAGAAGGGGCGCCGCCGGCUGUGAACGCCCUCGCGGCGGGAGCGGCUGGCGGCCGCAGCGAAACGGCCCAAGCGACUGUUUAUCAAAAACACAGGACUCUGCAAAGCGGUAACGCGACGUAUAGGGUCUGACGCCUGCCCGGUGCCGGAAGGUUACGCGGAUGCGUCAGCCGAAAGGCGAAGCGCUGAAGCCAAGCCCCGGUAAACGGCGGCCGUAACUAUAACGGUCCUAAGGUAGCGAAAUUCCUUGUCGGGUAAGUUCCG